AUGAUGUAUCUCAGUAUAUACGAAGAGGACUACAUUAUUCUGAAAGAUGAUUUGGUAAAACAAUGGAUAGCGGAAGGUUUUAUCCAUGCAACAGAAGAGGAAGACAUGGAAGAAAUAUCAAGGAUCUGUUUCGGUGAGCUAAUCAGUAGAAGACUGAUCCAACCUGUACAUAUAAGUGACAACAAUGAUGUUUUGUCCUGCACAGUGCAUCACAUGGUACUUGAUUUUAUCAAACAUAAGUCCUUUGAAGAGAAUUUUGUUACAGCAAUAGAUAAUUGUCAGACAACUGCACCACUCGUAGACAAGGUUCGUCGACUGUCUCUUCACUUUGGUAAUGCAGAAGCAACGCCACCAACAAAUAUGAGACUAUCACAAGUUCGCACUCUCGCAUUUUUCGGGGUCAUCAAGUGUUUGCCUUCCAUCGUGGAGUUCGGGCUUCUUCAAGUUCUAAUCCUUCAUCUUUGGGGCGAUGAUGAAAACAUCUGUGUUGAUCUCACUGGAAUAUCUGAGCUAUUUCGGCUGAGAUAUUUGCAUGUCACAUGUAAUGCCACCUUAGAAUUACCACAAACCCAAAGGCGAGGUCUACAAUAUUUGGAGACACUGAAAAUAGAUGCAAAAGUAAGUGCAGUUCCGUCAGACAUUGUCCAUUUGCCGGGCUUAUUGCACUUAAGUCUCCCUGUUGAAACAAAUCUGCCCAAUGGUAUUGGCCGCAUGGCAUCACUUUGCACCCUUGGAUAUUUUGAUCUAAGUGUUAACUCGAUAGAUAAUGUGCAGAGCCUUAUUGAGCUGGCCAAUCUUCGGGAUCUUCGGCUCACUUGUUCUACUGUUCAUUCUUCUUAUUUAAAGAGCAAAAUGGAUAUUAUGGGCACUAUUCUUGCGAAACUCAGCAACCUUCGGUCCGUAACUCUGAAGCCUUCAGGUAUUCUGGACAGAGGAUCUUCCAGCAUGAGCAUUUCCUGUGAUGGCUUGAGCAGCGUUUCCUCUCCUCCGGCGCUUCUUGAGAGAUUUGAGUGGUUGCCGUGCAUCUGCACCUUCUCCACCAUCCCCAAGUGGAUUGGACAUCUCAACAAGCUCUGCAUUUUGAAGAUUGGGGUUAGGGAGCUAACGAGCAGUGAUGUUGAUGUUCUCAGAAGGUUGCCUGCACUUACCGUUUUGUCGUUAUAUGUCCGAGCAAAGCCUGCAGGAAGGAUUGUCUUCACUAAGACAGGAUUCUCGGUUCUCAAGUGCUUCAAGUUCAGGUGCAGUGUACCUUGGCUGGAAUUUGAGGUGAAUGCAAUGCCUAAUCUAUUGAAACUCAAGCUAGGUUUCGAUGCCCAUGGAAAGUAUCAACCCCGUAUUAUACCUGUCGGCAUCAUGCACUUAACAGGCCUUAAGGAAAUCUCUGCAAAAAUUGGGGGUGUUGGUGCUAUUGACCCCAAUAGAAGGGCUGCAGAAUCAGCGUUGAUUGACGCUAUUGAGAUGCAUCCGGCACGCCCCACCUUUAACAUACAGUCUUUAGACAGGAUGUUCAGUGUUAAGGAUGACAAUAAUAGCAGUGUACAAGAGGAAGAACACACGACUCUGCAAAAGCAAUACGAUAUCAUGGAGGAAGACUCAAUGGAGGAACAAGAGGAAGAACACACGACUCUGCAAAAGAAAUACGAUAUCAUGGAGGAAGACUCAAUGGAGGAACAAGAGGAAGAACACAUGAUUCUGCAAAAGAAAUACGAUAUCAUGGAGGAAGACUCAAUGGAGGAACAAGAGGAAGAACACAUGAUUCUGCAAAAGAAAUACUAUAUCAUGGAGGAAGACUCAGUGGAACAGCAUCGAGCCUUUCAAAAGGGCACCUGCGAAGAUGCUCACAGCAGGUCGUCUUCGUUUUCAGAUUGGAAAACUGUUGCGGACAAGCAAGCUGACAGUAGAGCACAUCUUCCGGAUCAGAUUGGAGAGAGGAUUGAUCUCGCCAGCAACGCCCCUGCCGUCGGCGGCAUCGUCGUCCGCGCCAUCUCACGGGCACGUGGCUUCUUCGGGCGGCUGCUCUCCCGCGCCAUGACGCGGCAGCGCAGCGGGCCGUCGUCCUUAAAUUUCAAGGAAAACACCGGGGAGUACACCUUCGCGCAGCUGGCGACGGCGACGAACGGCUUUGCGCCCAAGGCCAAGAUCGGCGCAGGAAGCUUCGGCACGGUGUACCGGGGCAAGCUCCCGGACGGGCGCGAGGUUGCCAUCAAGCGCGGGGAGUCGUCUGGGCCGACGGCGCGCAGUUUCCAGGAGGAGAGUGCGUUCAGGUCGGAGCUCGCCUUCCUCUCCCGCCUCAACCACAAGCACAUCGUCGGCCUCCUGGGCUACUGUGAGGAGAACGACGAGCGGCUGCUCGUGUACGAGUACAUGAACAACGGCGCGCUCUACGACCACCUCCACCCCAAGGGCGUGGACGGCGACGUCGCGUCCCCGGUGGUCUCAUCAUGGAACCUGCGCAUCAAGAUCCUGCUGGACGCGUCGCGCGGCAUUGAGUACCUGCACUCGUACGCCGUGCCGCCCAUUAUCCACCGCGACAUCAAGUCGUCCAACAUCCUGCUGGACGGCAGCUGGGUGGCGUGCGUGUCGGACUUCGGGCUGUCGCUGAUGGAACCACCACAGACGGACGGGGCAGGGUCGCAAGUGCAGCAGCACCUGUCCACGAAGGCCGCCGGCACGGUGGGGUACAUAGACCCGGAGUACUACAGCGACCUGCACCACCUCACCGUGAAGAUCGACGUCUACGGCUUCGGCGUGGUGAUGCUUGAAACGCUCACGGGGAAGCGUGCCAUAUUCAAGGAGGCCCAGGGCGGGAGCCCCGUGAGUGUGGUCGACUACGCGCAGCCCAGCGUCGUGGCCGGGGAGCUCAGCAAGGUACUGGACAGGCGGGCGCCUGAGCCGACGCCGGUCCAGGCCGAGGCCAUCGAGCUGGUGGCCUACACGGCUGUGCACUGCGUGCGGCUCCAUGGCAAAGACCGGCCGCACAUGGCCGACAUUGUCUCCAACCUGGAGACGGCAUUCGCACUUGUAUCAUGUCAGGACGAGUUAAGCUAG
Molecule: ribosomal RNA, 3048 nt
Filed under: Triticum aestivum (bread wheat)
Lineage: Eukaryota; Viridiplantae; Streptophyta; Magnoliopsida; Poales; Poaceae
Description: partial small subunit ribosomal RNA
Source: RNAcentral